AGGCGAGAGGACUUGGGGAUCUGCAGAGAAAGGAGCCUUUGCAGGUGUGGUGCUGAAGACCCAUUUACCAGGUUUUUUAACCUGUGGGCUUCUACUCAGUCAUUGAUGGGAGAAGAUUCUGGUUGGAGCUGCUUUGGCUUACAAAGUGCUUCCCAGCAGUCACUAAUGAUAAAGAACCUGCUUCCAAUGCAGGAGAUGUAAGAGAUACGAGUUCUACCCCUGGUUCAG
Molecule: non-coding RNA, 228 nt
Organism: Odocoileus virginianus texanus
Lineage: Eukaryota; Metazoa; Chordata; Mammalia; Artiodactyla; Cervidae
Source: RefSeq, a predicted model, not a curated record